Long non-coding RNA from Sinocyclocheilus grahami, 606 nucleotides. RefSeq lists it as uncharacterized. The record is from RefSeq and is a predicted model, not a curated record. The transcript is spliced from 3 exons. Lineage: Eukaryota; Metazoa; Chordata; Actinopteri; Cypriniformes; Cyprinidae.
GUCCCUGCAGCCUCAGUUCAGGGCUGUUAGUGUGCAACUGGAGACUCAGAAGCACUGCGGUGUCAACAGGGUGACUUUGUAUUUGGCUUUUCCCACUCUUAUGCGCGUAGGAAGACUGUGCUCCGUCUAGAAGUCAGUCCAAAAUGCAGCGCGUAUGUGGAAUAUGGGAAAAUCACAGGUAAAGCUGUGUGUGUAAUUUCGGUGGCGGAUCCAGAUCUAGAUUGAUGUUUCAUGUAGAAACAAGCUCUACAGGUGGUGUGGACACUUCAUUGACAGGAAAAAUGUGGAGAGAUGCAGAGCAGGCACUGACUCUGAUAUGGCUUCUCUCUUGGACCUCACACAGCAUGUGUCUUUCUCCUCCGGGGAGGCCCACACUAACAAGAUGUCGGUCGCCUGAGAAAGAGACGUUCACUUGCUGGUGGGAGCCUGGAUCAACAGGUGGACUGCCCACCAGCUACCACCUGUAUUUCAGAAAAGAGAGGUGAGUGCAGCCUACAUCGCUAUUCAGCAUUGUUCAGCUUGCUGUCAAAAAAGUAUAUUUCCAUUCUUUUUUCCCUGUAUCAGAAUAUGGGUAGUUGCCUCAUUAGCCGGGUUUCCAUCCAAAAU